This is a non-coding RNA of Chelmon rostratus (copperband butterflyfish), 695 nucleotides long. The record is from the annotation of a RefSeq genome assembly. NCBI's taxonomy places the organism in Eukaryota, Metazoa, Chordata, Actinopteri, Chaetodontiformes, Chaetodontidae.
AUGACUGUCAACUCUGUGUUCAGUGUGCAGGAGGUUUUUGUACGACCACUUCAUGAGUUUGUAUCACUGUGGUUGACUUUUGGUGGAGGAACCAAACUCAUCAUUGACUCCGGCUCCAGGGUCAGGCCCUCGGUCUCUCUGCUUCCCCCCUCCUCCCAGCAGCUCUCCGGGGGCUCGGCCACGCUGGCCUGCCUGCUGAGCGGCUACUCUCCUCCGGGAGCCGUGGUGAGCUGGGAGGUGGACGGCGCGGAGGUGACGGAGGGGGUCCUGACCAGCUCAGAGGAGGAGAAGAGCGGACGCUACAGCAGCAGCAGCACCCUGAGCCUGAGCCAGGAGCGCUGGAUGGAAGGAGAGCUGUACUCCUGCAAGGUCCUCCAUCACGACCACAGCCAGACCCAGUCCCUCCACAGGAGCCAGUGUGAGGCCUAGAGGGGCUGGCUGAAGCCCAGGACGGGAGCUGUGUGUGGGGGGAGCAGGAGGAACACACCUGCUGCUCUCAGCAACAUGACUUUUAAUGUUUGUAGAGGAAACUAAAGCUUUGUGUGACAGAGAACAGCACUGCUGUAAAGUGUUGGACAGCAACAACUUAGAGAGUAAUGUGUGUAGCUCAGCAGCGAGAUGUGAGUGUGCUUCAUAACUGUCAUGUUGAUGGUUGAUGUUUGUGCUAAUAAAGCUUGAACUGAUCAAUAACUUGA